AGGGUUCGAUUCUGGCUCAGGAUGAACGCUAGCGGCAAGGCUUAAUACAUGCAAGUCGAACGGGAUUCGAGAUAGCAAUAUUUUGAUGAGAGUGGCGCACGGGUGCGUAACACGUAUGCAACCUACCUUUUAACUGGGUGAAUAGCCCCGGGAAAUCGGGAUUAAUACACCAUAACAUUACUGAAAGGCAUCUUUUUGGCAAUUAAAGAACUUCGGUUAGAGAUGGGCAUGCGGGACAUUAGCUAGUUGGUGAGGUAACGGCUCACCAAGGCGACGAUGUCUAGGGGUCCUGAGAGGGUUAUCCCCCACACCUGGUACUGAGACACGGACCAGACUCCUACGGGAGGCAGCAGUAAGGAAUAGUUGGUCAAGUGGGCGCAAGCCUGAACCAGCCAUGCCGCGUCGCAGGAAGACGGCCUAUGGGUUGUAAACUGUCUUUUGUCAGGGAAUAAAAUGUAGGUACGUGUACUUACUUGAAGGUACCUGAAGAAUAAGCAUCGGCUAACUCCGUGCCAGCCGCCGC
This 523-nucleotide ribosomal RNA is filed under the name uncultured bacterium. RNAcentral's name for it is "bacterial SSU rRNA". It matches the Rfam family "Bacterial small subunit ribosomal RNA", at positions 8 to 518 of the family's 1533-position model. The record is from RNAcentral.